This 1363-nucleotide ribosomal RNA is filed under the name Bifidobacterium pseudocatenulatum. RNAcentral's name for it is "bacterial SSU rRNA". It matches the Rfam family "Bacterial small subunit ribosomal RNA", at positions 66 to 1435 of the family's 1533-position model. Lineage: Bacteria; Bacillati; Actinomycetota; Actinomycetes; Bifidobacteriales; Bifidobacteriaceae. The record is from RNAcentral.
ACGGGAUCCAUCAGGCUUUGCUUGGUGGUGAGAGUGGCGAACGGGUGAGUAAUGCGUGACCGACCUGCCCCAUACACCGGAAUAGCUCCUGGAAACGGGUGGUAAUGCCGGAUGCUCCGACUCCUCGCAUGGGGUGUCGGGAAAGAUUUCAUCGGUAUGGGAUGGGGUCGCGUCCUAUCAGGUAGUCGGCGGGGUAACGGCCCACCGAGCCUACGACGGGUAGCCGGCCUGAGAGGGCGACCGGCCACAUUGGGACUGAGAUACGGCCCAGACUCCUACGGGAGGCAGCAGUGGGGAAUAUUGCACAAUGGGCGCAAGCCUGAUGCAGCGACGCCGCGUGCGGGAUGACGGCCUUCGGGUUGUAAACCGCUUUUGAUCGGGAGCAAGCCUUCGGGUGAGUGUACCUUUCGAAUAAGCACCGGCUAACUACGUGCCAGCAGCCGCGGUAAUACGUAGGGUGCAAGCGUUAUCCGGAAUUAUUGGGCGUAAAGGGCUCGUAGGCGGUUCGUCGCGUCCGGUGUGAAAGUCCAUCGCUUAACGGUGGAUCUGCGCCGGGUACGGGCGGGCUGGAGUGCGGUAGGGGAGACUGGAAUUCCCGGUGUAACGGUGGAAUGUGUAGAUAUCGGGAAGAACACCAAUGGCGAAGGCAGGUCUCUGGGCCGUUACUGACGCUGAGGAGCGAAAGCGUGGGGAGCGAACAGGAUUAGAUACCCUGGUAGUCCACGCCGUAAACGGUGGAUGCUGGAUGUGGGGCCCGUUCCACGGGUUCCGUGUCGGAGCUAACGCGUUAAGCAUCCCGCCUGGGGAGUACGGCCGCAAGGCUAAAACUCAAAGAAAUUGACGGGGGCCCGCACAAGCGGCGGAGCAUGCGGAUUAAUUCGAUGCAACGCGAAGAACCUUACCUGGGCUUGACAUGUUCCCGACAGCCGUAGAGAUAUGGCCUCCCUUCGGGGCGGGUUCACAGGUGGUGCAUGGUCGUCGUCAGCUCGUGUCGUGAGAUGUUGGGUUAAGUCCCGCAACGAGCGCAACCCUCGCCCUGUGUUGCCAGCACGUCAUGGUGGGAACUCACGGGGGACCGCCGGGGUCAACUCGGAGGAAGGUGGGGAUGACGUCAGAUCAUCAUGCCCCUUACGUCCAGGGCUUCACGCAUGCUACAAUGGCCGGUACAACGGGAUGCGACACGGCGACGUGGAGCGGAUCCCUGAAAACCGGUCUCAGUUCGGAUUGGAGUCUGCAACCCGACUCCAUGAAGGCGGAGUCGCUAGUAAUCGCGGAUCAGCAACGCCGCGGUGAAUGCGUUCCCGGGCCUUGUACACACCGCCCGUCAAGUCAUGAAAGUGGGUAGCACCCGAAGCCGGUGGCC